UGCCUGUACCAUAACCGACACAGGUGGGUAAGUAGAGUAUACUAAGGGGCGCGAGAUAACUCUCUCUAAGGAACUCGGCAAAAUAACUCCGUAACUUCGGGAGAAGGAGUGCCUUAUUCUUAAGGUUGCAAUAACAAGAUCCAAGCAACUGUUUAUCAAAAACACAGGUCUCCGCUAAGUCGUAAGACGAUGUAUGGGGGCUGACGCCUGCCCAGUGCCAGAAGGUUAAAGAAGUCGGUUAGCAAUAGCAAAGCUGGUAACUGAAGCCCUGGUGAACGGCGGCCGUAACAAUAACGGUCCUAAGGUAGCGAAAUUCCUUGUCGGGUAAGUUCCGACCCGCACGAAAGGCGUAAUGAUUUGGAUGCUGUCUCGGAGAGGGGCUCGGUGAAAUAGACUUGUCUGUGAAGAUGCGGACUACCUGCACCAGGACAGAAAGACCCUAUGAAGCUUUACUGUAACUUGAAAUUGAAAUUGGACUUUAUUCGCGCAGUAUAGGUGGGAGGCGUUGAUUAUAAUCUUGUGGGAUUAUUGGAGCCAUCAGUGAGAUACCACUCUUGUAAUGUUAGAUUUCUAACUUUGAAUCAUUAUCUGGUCAAAGGACAGUUUCAGGCGGGCAGUUUGACUGGGGCGGUCGCCUCCUAAACGGUAACGGAGGCGUACAAAGGUUUCCUCUGAACGGUUAGAAAUCGUAUCUAGAGUGUAAAGGCAUAAGGAAGCUUGACUGUGAGACCUACAAGUCGAGCAGGGACGAAAGUCGGUCUUAGUGAUCUGACGGUACUGAGUGGAAAGGCCGUCACUCAACGGAUAAAAGUUACUCUAGGAUAACAGGCUGAUCUCCCCCAAGAGUUCACAUCGACGGGGAGGUUUGGCACCUCGAUGUCGGCUCAUCGCAUCCUGGGGCGGUAGUACGUCCCAAGGGUUGGGCUGUUCGCCCAUGAAAGCGGUACGCGAGCUGGGUUCAGAACGUCGUGAGACAGUUCGGUCCAUAUCCGGUGUAGGCGCUAGAAUAUUGAGAGGAGCCUUUCUUUAGUACGAGAGGACCGAGAAGGACAUACCUCUGGUGUACCAGUUAUCGUGCCAACGGUAAACGCUGGGUAGCUAUGUAUGGAGUGGAUAACCGCUGAAAGCAUCUAAGUGGGAAGCCCACCUCAAGAUAAGUAUUCUCAUCACGUAAGUGAGUAAGGUCACGGUAAGACUAACCGUUUGAUAGGCAUUAGGUGUAAGUACAGUAAUGUAUGUGCUGAGAUGUCCUAAUAGACCGAGGAC
This 1266-nucleotide ribosomal RNA is filed under the name metagenome. RNAcentral describes it as "bacterial LSU rRNA". It matches the Rfam family "Bacterial large subunit ribosomal RNA", at positions 1639 to 2925 of the family's 2925-position model. The record is from RNAcentral.